UACGUAUGGUGCAAGCGUUAUCCGGAUUUACUGGGCGUAAAGGGAGCACAGGCGGCGCGCCAAGUCUGAUGUGAAACCCCGGGGCUCAACCCCGGGCAUGCAUUGGAAACUGGCGGGCUGGAGUGCCGGAGAGGUAAGCGGAAUUCCUAGUGUAGCGGUGAAAUGCGUAGAUAUUAGGAGGAACACCAGUGGCGAAGGCGGCUUACUGGACGGCAACUGACGCUGAGGCUCGAAAGCGUGGGGAGCAAACAGG
RNAcentral lists this ribosomal RNA (253 nucleotides) under uncultured bacterium. RNAcentral's name for it is "partial 16S ribosomal RNA". It matches the Rfam family "Bacterial small subunit ribosomal RNA", at positions 524 to 776 of the family's 1533-position model. The record is from RNAcentral.